CCUAUGCCGGGAUUAGCUUGUUGGUGGGGUAACGGCCUACCAAGGCGACGAUCCGUAGCUGGUCUGAGAGGACGACCAGCCACACUGGGACUGAGACACGGCCCAGACUCCUACGGGAGGCAGCAGUAGGGAAUAUUGGACAAUGGGCGAAAGCCUGAUCCAGCAAUGCCGCGUGUGUGAAGAAGGCCUAUGGGUUGUAAAGCACUUUCAGUUGGGAAGAAAAGCUUUAGGUUAAUACCCUAGAGUCUUGACGUUACCAAUAGAAGAAGCACCGGCUAACUCUGUGCCAGCAGCCGCGGUAAGACAGAGGGUGCGAGCGUUAAUCGGAAUUACUGGGCGUAAAGCGUACGUAGGUGGUUGAGUAAGUCGGAUGUGAAAGCCCAAGGCUUAACCUUGGAACUGCAUUCGAUACUGCUCAACUAGAGUACAGUAGAGGGAAGCG
Molecule: ribosomal RNA, 442 nt
Filed under: uncultured bacterium
Lineage: Bacteria
Description: bacterial SSU rRNA
Rfam family: Bacterial small subunit ribosomal RNA
Source: RNAcentral